GAUGAAGAACGUAGCGAAAUGCGAUAAGUAAUGUGAAUUGCAGAAUUCAGUGAAUCAUCGAAUCUUUGAACGCACAUUGCGCCCGCCAGUAGUCUGGCGGGCAUGCCUGUUCGAGCGUCAUUACAACCCUCAGGCCCCCGGGCCUGGCGUUGGGGAUCGGCGGAGCCCCCCGUGGGCACACGCCGUCCCCCAAAUACAGUGGCGGUCCCGCCGCAGCUUCCAUCGCGUAGUAGCUAACACCUCGCGACUGGAGAGCGGCGCGGCCACGCCGUAAAACACCCAACUCUUCUGAAGUUGACCUCGAAUCAGGUAGGAAUACCCGCUGAACUUAAGCAUAUCAAUAAGCGGAGGA
This 352-nucleotide unclassified non-coding RNA is filed under the name soil metagenome. RNAcentral's name for it is "partial contains 5.8S ribosomal RNA, internal transcribed spacer 2, and large subunit ribosomal RNA". The stretch from base 1 to 120 matches the Rfam family "5.8S ribosomal RNA", at positions 35 to 154 of the family's 154-position model. The record is from RNAcentral.